RNAcentral lists this non-coding RNA (44 nucleotides) under Schistosoma mattheei. Lineage: Eukaryota; Metazoa; Platyhelminthes; Trematoda; Strigeidida; Schistosomatidae. The record is from RNAcentral.
AUCCAGCUGAUAGUCUCAAAUAAGAUGAAACGCGCGUCCUGGAU